Molecule: ribosomal RNA, 478 nt
Filed under: uncultured bacterium
Lineage: Bacteria
Description: partial 16S ribosomal RNA
Rfam family: Bacterial small subunit ribosomal RNA
Source: RNAcentral
GACGAACGCUGGCGGCGUGCUUAACACAUGCAAGUCGAACGUGAUUUUUGUGGAAAUUCUUUCGGGAAUGGAAAUGAAAUGAAAGUGGCGAACGGGUGAGUAACACGUGAGCAACCUACCUUACACAGGGGGAUAGCCGUUGGAAACGACGAUUAAUACCGCAUGAGACCACAGAAUCGCAUGAUAUAGGGGUCAAAGAUUUAUCGGUGUAAGAAGGGCUCGCGUCUGAUUAGCUAGUUGGAAGGGUAAAGGCCUACCAAGGCGACGAUCAGUAGCCGGUCUGAGAGGAUGAACGGCCACAUUGGAACUGAGACACGGUCCAAACUCCUACGGGAGGCAGCAGUGGGGAAUAUUGCACAAUGGGGGGAACCCUGAUGCAGCGACGCCGCGUGAGCGAAGAAGGUUUUCGAAUCGUAAAGCUCCGUCCUAUGAGAAGAUAAUGACGGUAUCAUAGGAGGAGGCCCCGGCUAAAUACGUG